GAUGAACGCUGGCGGCGUGCCUAAUACAUGCAAGUCGAGCGAACGGACGAGAAGCUUGCUUCUCUGAUGUUAGCGGCGGACGGGUGAGUAACACGUGGAUAACCUACCUAUAAGACUGGGAUAACUUCGGGAAACCGUAGCUAAUACCGGAUAAUAUUUUGAACCGCAUGGUUCAAAAGUGAAAGACGGUCUUGCUGUCACUUAUAGAUGGAUCCGCGCUGCAUUAGCUAGUUGGUAAGGUAACGGCUUACCAAGGCAACGAUGCCUAGCCGACCUGAGAGGGGGAUCGGCCACACUGGAACUGAGACACGGUCCAGACUCCUACGGGAGGCAGCAGUAGGGAAUCUUCCGCAAUGGGCGAAAGCCUGACGGAGCAACGCCGCGUGAGUGAUGAAGGUCUUCGGAUCGUAAAACUCUGUUAUUAGGGAAGAACAUAUGUGUAAGUAACUGUGCACAUCUUGACGGUACCUAAUCAGAAAGCCACGGCUAACUACGUG
Molecule: ribosomal RNA, 497 nt
Filed under: uncultured bacterium
Lineage: Bacteria
Description: partial 16S ribosomal RNA
Rfam family: Bacterial small subunit ribosomal RNA
Source: RNAcentral